GGGGGCGACAGGUUUCGACGGGGGAAGCGGAGGCAAGAGGAGCGAGCCGGGGUUGCUGCCAGCCCGUUAAAACGGUGGCAAAAGUAUAAACGCCAACAAACAAGAGCUCGCUCUGGCCGCAUAAGUUCGGCCAGCAUCCUGCGCGCCUUUGCCUGCGGGGCGGGUCGGGGUGUGACAUGAGCAGGCUUGCCUUAAGGCCGGUUCCCGGCGGCCGGUAGGGAGAACUAACCGGGAUAGCGUCCGGUAGAGCCUGGCUGUGGGCGCUACCGGCGCGAAGCGCAGUACACAGCCUGCGCUCGGAGAAACUCUUGUGGCCGGUCCUUCGGACGGGGGUUCGAUUCCCCCCGCCUCCACCA
Molecule: transfer-messenger RNA, 356 nt
Filed under: Thermodesulfitimonas autotrophica
Lineage: Bacteria; Bacillati; Bacillota; Clostridia; Thermoanaerobacterales; Thermoanaerobacteraceae
Description: Standard tmRNA
Rfam family: transfer-messenger RNA
About the family: Bacterial tmRNA, also known as 10Sa RNA or SsrA, is named for its dual tRNA and mRNA-like properties.
Source: Rfam by way of RNAcentral